Molecule: ribosomal RNA, 430 nt
Filed under: uncultured bacterium
Lineage: Bacteria
Description: bacterial SSU rRNA
Rfam family: Bacterial small subunit ribosomal RNA
Source: RNAcentral
GUCGAGAAUCAUUCGCAAUGGGCGAAAGCCUGACGAUGCGACGCCGCGUGAGCGAUGAAGGCCUUCGGGUUGUAAAGCUCUUUCGCUUGGGAAUAAGUGAAGUGGAUGAAUAAUCCAUGGAAUUGAAGGUACCAGGUAAAGAAGCACCGGCUAACUCCGUGCCAGCAGCUGCGGUAAUACGGAGGGUGCUAGCGUUAAUCGGAUUUAUUGGGCGUAAAGAGCGCGUAGGCGUUCGUGUAAGUCGUGUGUGAAAACCCAAAGCUCAACUUUGGGACUGCAUUCGAAACUACAUGAAUUGAGGAUGGACGGAGAGAGCGGAAUUCCACGUGUAGCGGUGAAAUGCGUAGAUAUGUGGAGGAACACCUGUGGCGAAAGCGGCUCUCUAGUUUACUCCUGACGCUGAGGCGCGAAAGCAAGGGUAGCAAACAGG